CAUAGCGACUAUCGUGGCAUAUCAAUAAGCGGAGGAAAAGAAACUAACAAGGAUUCCCUUAGUAACGGCGAGUGAAGCGGGAAGAGCUCAAAUUCGAAAUCUUCAAGGUUUUACCUUGACGAAUUGUAGUUUAAAGAAGUGUUUUCUGUUGGAGUUUUGGUAAAAGUUCUUUGGAAUAGGACAUCAUAGAGGGUGAGAAUCCCGUAUUUGACCAUUAUUUCCAGCUGUGUGAUACACUUUCCAAAGAGUCGGAUUGUUUGGGAAUGCAGUCCAAAAUGGGUGGUGAAUUUCAUCUAAAGCUAAAUAUUGGCGAGAGACCGAUAGCGAACAAGUACCGUGAGGGAAAGAUGAAAAGAACUUUGAAAAGAGAGCUAAACAGUACGUGAAAUUGUCAAAAGGGAAGCGUUUGACACCAGUGUCGUUUUCUCGAAAAUCAAUUAAAAAUGAUGGGAUUUUGUGUUGUAUUGACUUUAUCAGCUUUCUGCACUUUUUUCUUAUCUUUUUUAAUGCACUUUUCGUUUAACAAGUCAACAUCAAUUUCUUUUGUUGUAAAAGAGUCAUUGGAAGGUGGCUUUUUCUUCGGAAAAAGUGUUUAUAGCCUUUGGCUUCUACAAUCGGAGAGAUUGAGGUCUGCAGCGUAGAUCCUUCGGGGUUAGAUACAUUUGUGCUAAGCUAUAGUUCUUUAUAGACAACUUGUUGACUAUAAUCAAUCCUGUAACUUACUCGCUUAUGCUAUUUUACCUACGCUUAGGAUGUUGAUAGUCACAGCGUGUAC
RNAcentral lists this ribosomal RNA (775 nucleotides) under uncultured Neocallimastigales. RNAcentral's name for it is "partial large subunit ribosomal RNA". The stretch from base 5 to 694 matches the Rfam family "Eukaryotic large subunit ribosomal RNA", at positions 24 to 664 of the family's 3401-position model. Lineage: Eukaryota; Fungi; Neocallimastigomycota; Neocallimastigomycetes; Neocallimastigales. The record is from RNAcentral.